This 90-nucleotide transfer RNA is filed under the name Actinocatenispora sera. RNAcentral describes it as "tRNA-Ala". The record is from RNAcentral. Lineage: Bacteria; Bacillati; Actinomycetota; Actinomycetes; Micromonosporales; Micromonosporaceae.
CGGCGGCCCGGUGUGGCCGGCGCUCGCGGUCUGCGUCGGCGAGGCGCUGAUCGCGUUGGUGCUGGGCGCGAUCGCGCUGCGCUUCGUCGA